UACCAGCACCCCGAGUGGUCGGGACGUUUAUUGGGCCUAAAGCAUCCGUAGCCGGUUCUACAAGUCUUCCGUUAAAUCCACCUGCUUAACAGAUGGGCUGCGGAAGAUACUAUAGAGCUAGGAGGCGGGAGAGGCAAGCGGUACUCGAUGGGUAGGGGUAAAAUCCGUUGAUCCAUUGAAGACCACCAGUGGCGAAGGCGGCUUGCCAGAACGCGCUCGACGGUGAGGGAUGAAAGCUGGGGGAGCAAACAGG
Molecule: ribosomal RNA, 253 nt
Filed under: uncultured bacterium
Lineage: Bacteria
Description: partial 16S ribosomal RNA
Rfam family: Archaeal small subunit ribosomal RNA
Source: RNAcentral